AUGGAUUGAGUUGUUAGGGAAAGAAAAGUUGAGGGAGAUGAAUGACAAGUGGAUGCUGCUGAGGAUUGAGGAGGCGAAGCUCAUGGCUAAAAGGGCCGAUUUGGUAUCGGAGCAGACUAGACUUGCUAUGGAGGCUGUUGUAUCAUCUUCAAAAAGGAACUAAACUGACUUUAAUGGAUAGUUUUUCCUGCUGUCUAAGUCUCCAUUUGAGAAGAAAACUGUUGGUCGCAUGUACUGUUCCACGGUUCAGGUAUGUGAAGAAAUAGAAACAGUCUUUCAUUUUUUUUCAGGGAUUAAAGAAGACUAUUAACAUCCUUGUUUGCUGGAACUCAAUUCAAAUAUUUGAGUAGACAUGGUAGAAUUAUCUCUCAAACCUUAGUCCGUUCAAAUCCAAAA
Carica papaya (papaya) is the source of this 396-nucleotide non-coding RNA. The record is from RefSeq and is a predicted model, not a curated record. Lineage: Eukaryota; Viridiplantae; Streptophyta; Magnoliopsida; Brassicales; Caricaceae.